RNAcentral lists this ribosomal RNA (492 nucleotides) under uncultured bacterium. RNAcentral's name for it is "bacterial SSU rRNA". It matches the Rfam family "Bacterial small subunit ribosomal RNA", at positions 28 to 507 of the family's 1533-position model. The record is from RNAcentral.
GGAGAACGCUGGCGGCAUGCCUAAUACAUGCAAGUCGAACGCGGCCAUCCGGUGCUUGCACUGGUGAAGCCGAGUGGCGAACGGGUGAGUAACACGUGAGAAACCUGCCCUGGAGUGGGGAAUAACUCGAAGAAAUUCGAGCUAAUACCACAUACCUUCUCUUCACCGCAUGGUGAGUUGAAGAAAGAUUUAUCGCUCUAGGAGGGUCUCGCGGCCUAUCAGCUAGUUGGUGAGGUAAUGGCUCACCAAGGCAUCGACGGGUAGCUGGUCUGAGAGGACGAUCAGCCACACUGGGACUGAGACACGGCCCAGACUCCUACGGGAGGCAGCAGUGGGGAAUUUUGGACAAUGGGCGAAAGCCUGAUCCAGCCAUUCCGCGUGCAGGAUGAAGGCCCUCGGGUUGUAAACUGCUUUUGUACAGAACGAAAAAGCUCUUUCUAAUACAGAGAGUCCAUGACGGUACUGUAAGAAUAAGCACCGGCUAACUACGUG